GGUUUCUCUCCUGGACGGAGUUGGAAGAUGUCAUCCUGGACGUGGAAGUGACUUUAAACAACCGACCUCUCAGCUACGUAGAAGAAGACGUCCAACUGCCCUUACUUACACCGAAUACGUUGCAAUUCGUCCGACCAAACAUAUUACCAGAACAACCAGAGCAUCAAAUCGAGAAUCCCGAUCUCCGCAAGAGAGCAAAGUACAUCCGACAAUGUAAAGACGUGUUGUGGAAAAGAUGGUCUUCUGAAUAUUUGAAGGCUCUCCGAGAGCGGCAUAACAUGAAACAUCACGGUAAAGUUAUAAGUAUAAAGAUUGGAGACGUCGUUAUCGUGAAAGGAGAGGAAAAGAAUCGGGGAAAGUGGAAAAUCGGUGUUGUAGAACGACUCGUAGUGGGUAAAGACGGUAUCGUACGGGGAGCGAAACUACGAGUGGGACAGAACACAUUAGAACAUGCAGUUCAACACCUAUACCCUAUGGAACUGUCCUGUGACGUAGCCGUAAAGACGCCAGAGUCGAGACCAAGAGAAACAGAACUGAGAGCUGAUGUACCCGAGUUCAGACCAAAGAGAAAUGCUGCAGCGAUAGCAGAAUGUCGAAUUCAGGACAUAGCAGGUGACGAACAGAAUUAGAACGUUAAUCAUAUAUAGAUACAUAUUCAGCCACAUAGAGAACAAUAUAUCUUGAGUAAUACAAUAUAAUUUAAGUUUUGUUAGGUUACGAACAGUCAAAUUUACACAUAUAGUCGAACUCAAUCAUUAUGGACGGUGAACGAAAACACAAUUCAUUCAUAUUCGUUUACAAAAAACGAAUAGGGGGAGUGUGUUGAGAAUUGUGGUAAUAUUAGUUAAUUAGGAUAAUAUAUAUUUAGUUAUUAAGAACUGUCAAUCAAAUAAUGCAUGCGUCAUAAGUUAAUUAAGUAGAGUAUCAAAUUUAUAAGUAGUGAUUAAGUGAUAGCGUAACUGUUGAGACUGUGAUUUUAGAGC
Paramuricea clavata is the source of this 983-nucleotide non-coding RNA. The record is from the annotation of a GenBank genome assembly. Lineage: Eukaryota; Metazoa; Cnidaria; Anthozoa; Malacalcyonacea; Plexauridae.